GCCUACGGGGCGCAGCAGUGGGGAAUAUUGCGCAAUGGGCGAAAGCCUGACGCAGCGACGCCGCGUGAGGGAUGAAGGUCUUCGGAUCGUAAACCUCUGUCAGCAGGGAAGAACGGUCACUGUGCUAAUCAGCAGUGAAUUGACGGUACCUGCAAAGGAAGCACCGGCUAACUCCGUGCCAGCAGCCGCGGUAAUACGGAGGGUGCGAGCGUUAAUCGGAAUUACUGGGCGUAAAGCGCUCGUAGGCGGUAUGUCAAGUCAAGGGUGAAAUCCCCGCGCUCCACGUGUGACCUGCCUUUGAAACU
RNAcentral lists this ribosomal RNA (305 nucleotides) under uncultured bacterium. Its description in RNAcentral is "bacterial SSU rRNA". It matches the Rfam family "Bacterial small subunit ribosomal RNA", at positions 337 to 634 of the family's 1533-position model. The record is from RNAcentral.